UUAAGUUAACAAGGGCGCAUGGUGAAUGCCUUGGCACUAGGAGCCGAUGAAGGACGGGACUAACACCGAUAUGCUUCGGGGAGCUGUACGUAAGCUAUGAUCCGGAGAUUUCCGAAUGGGGCAACCCAGCAGUUUUAAUCAACUGUUACCACUAGAUGAAUUCAUAGUCUAGUUGGAGGUAAACGCUGUGAACUGAAACAUCUCAUUAGCAGCAGGAAUAUAAAGAAAUUUCGAUUCCCUAAGUAGCGGCGAGCGAACGGGGAACAGCCCAAACCAAAGUGCUUGCACUUUGGGGUUGUAGGACUGAACAUUUGAGUUACCAAAGAACUUGAUAGUCGAAGGAUUUGGGAAAAUCCGCCAUAGAUGGUGAUAGCCCAGUAGAUUAAAUCAAAUUCUCUCAGUUCAGAAUCCUGAGUACGGCGGAACACGUGAAAUUCCGUCGGAAUCCGGGAGGACCAUCUCCCAAGGCUAAAUACUACCUAGUGACCGAUAGUGAACCAGUACCGUGAGGGAAAGGUGAAAAGCACCCCGGGAGGGGAGUGAAAUAGUUCCUGAAACCAUGUGCCUACAAUAAGUCAGAGCGCGUUAAUGCGUGAUGGCGUGCCUUUUGUAGAAUGAACCGGCGAGUUAUGAUCCCGUGCAAGGUUAAGACUAAAAAGUCGGAGCCGUAGCGAAAGCGAGUCUGAAAUGGGCGUUUUGAGUACGAGGUUAUAGACCCGAAACCAGGUGACCUAUCCAUGUCCAGGUUGAAGGUGCGGUAAAACGCACUGGAGGACCGAACCCGUGUAAGUUGAAAAUUGCUGGGAUGAGGUGUGGAUAGCGGUGAAAUUCCAAACGAACUUGGAGAUAGCUGGUUCUCUCCGAAAUAGCUUUAGGGCUAGCCUCGGAAUUAGGAUCAUGGAGGUAGAGCACUAUUUGGACUAGGGGCCCGUCUUGGGUUACUGAAUUCAGAUAAACUCCGAAUGCCAUUGAUUCAUAUCCGGGAGUCAGACGAUGAGUGAUAAGAUCCACCGUCGAAAGGGGAACAGCCCAGACCAUCAGUUAAGGUCCCUAAAUGUAUGCUAAGUGGAAAAGGAUGUGGAGUUGCAUAGACAACUAGGAUGUUGGCUCAGAAGCAGCCACCAUUUAAAGAGUGCGUAAUAGCUCACUAGUCGAGUGAUCCUGCGCCGAAAAUGUACCGGGGCUAAGCAUACUACCGAAACCAUGGAUGCGACCAUUAGGUCGCGUGAUAGGAGAGCGUUCUAAGGGCGGUGAAGCAAGAUCGUGAGGACUUGUGGAGCGCUUAGAAGUGAGAAUGCCGGUAUGAGUAGCGAAAGAUAGGUGAGAAUCCUAUCCACCGAAUGACUAAGGUUUCCUGGGGAAGGCUCGUCCUCCCAGGGUUAGUCGGGACCUAAGUCGAGGCCGAGAGGCGUAGACGAUGGAUAACAGGUUGAGAUUCCUGUACUAGUUAAGUGCGUUUGAGCAAUGGAGGGACGCAGGAGGCUAAGAUGUGCAUUCUGUUGGAUUAGAAUGUCCAAGCAGUAAGUCUUGUGAAGAGUCAAAUGCUUUUCACUUUAAGGACAAGCUGUGAUGGGGAGCGAAAUUUAGUAGCGAAGCGUCUGAUGUCACACUGCCGAGAAAAGCUUCUAGUGAGUACUUAACUACCCGUACCGCAAACCGACACAGGUAGUCGAGGAGAGAAUCCUAAGGUGAGCGAGUGAACUCUCGUUAAGGAACUCGGCAAAAUGACCCCGUAACUUCGGGAGAAGGGGUGCUGAUCGCAAGAUCAGCCGCAGUGAAUAGGCCCAGGCGACUGUUUAUCAAAAACACAGGUCUCUGCAAAAUCGUAAGAUGACGUAUAGGGGCUGACGCCUGCCCGGUGCUGGAAGGUUAAAAGGAUGGGUUAGCUUCGGCGAAGCUCAGAAUUGAAGCCCCAGUAAACGGCGGCCGUAACUAUAACGGUCCUAAGGUAGCGAAAUUCCUUGUCGGGUAAGUUCCGACCCGCACGAAAGGCGUAACGAUCUGGGCACUGUCUCAACGAGAGACUCGGUGAAAUUAUAUUGUCCGUGAAGAUGCGGACUACCCGCGACAGGACGGAAAGACCCCAUGGAGCUUUACUGUAGCUUGAUAUUGAGUGUUUGUACAGCUUGUACAGGAUAGGUAGGAGCCAUAGAAACCGGAACGCUAGUUUCGGUGGAGGCGUUGGUGGGAUACUACCCUCGCUGUAUGACCACUCUAACCCGCACCACUAAUCGUGGUGGGAGACAGUGUCAGGUGGGCAGUUUGACUGGGGCGGUCGCCUCCUAAAAAGUAACGGAGGCGCCCAAAGGUUCCCUCAGAAUGGUUGGAAAUCAUUCGCAGAGUGUAAAGGCACAAGGGAGCUUGACUGCGAGACAGACAGGUCGAGCAGGGACGAAAGUCGGGCUUAGUGAUCCGGUGGUACCGUAUGGAAGGGCCAUCGCUCAACGGAUAAAAGCUACCCUGGGGAUAACAGGCUUAUCUCCCCCAAGAGUCCACAUCGACGGGGAGGUUUGGCACCUCGAUGUCGGCUCAUCGCAUCCUGGGGCUGUAGUCGGUCCCAAGGGUUGGGCUGUUCGCCCAUUAAAGCGGUACGCGAGCUGGGUUCAGAACGUCGUGAGACAGUUCGGUCCCUAUCCGUCGCGGGCGUAGGAAAUUUGAGAGGACCUGUCCUUAGUACGAGAGGACCGGGAUGGACAUACCUCUGGUGUACCAGUUGUGCCGCCAGGCGCAUCGCUGGGUAGCUACGUAUGGAUGUGAUAAACGCUGAAAGCAUCUAAGUGUGAAACACACCUCGAGAUGAGAUUUCCCAUUCCUUUAUGGAAGUAAGACCCCUGAAAGAUGAUCAGGUAGAUAGGUUAGAAGUGGCAGUGCGGUGACGCAUGAAGCGGACUAAUACUAAUCGGUCGAGGACUUAACC
Molecule: ribosomal RNA, 2917 nt
Filed under: Lactiplantibacillus plantarum
Lineage: Bacteria; Bacillati; Bacillota; Bacilli; Lactobacillales; Lactobacillaceae
Description: bacterial LSU rRNA
Rfam family: Bacterial large subunit ribosomal RNA
Source: RNAcentral